AAAGUCGUAACCAAGGUUUCCGUAGGUGAACCUGCGGAAGGAUCAUUACCUAGAGUUGUAGGCUUUGCCUGCUAUCUCUUACCCAUGUCUUUUGAGUACCUUCGUUUCCUCGGCGGGUCCGCCCGCCGAUUGGACAAUUUAAACCAUUUGCAGUUGCAAUCAGCGUCUGAAAAAACUUAAUAGUUACAACUUUCAACAACGGAUCUCUUGGUUCUGGCAUCGAUGAAGAACGCAGCGAAAUGCGAUAAGUAGUGUGAAUUGCAGAAUUCAGUGAAUCAUCGAAUCUUUGAACGCACAUUGCGCCCCUUGGUAUUCCAUGGGGCAUGCCUGUUCGAGCGUCAUUUGUACCUUCAAGCUCUGCUUGGUGUUGGGUGUUUUGUCUCGCCUCCGCGCGCAGACUCGCCUUAAAACAAUUGGCAGCCGGCGUAUUGAUUUCGGAGCGCAGUACAUCUCGCGCUUUGCACUCAUAACGACGACGUCCAAAAGUACAUUUUUACACUCUUGACCUCGGAUCGGGUAGGGAUACCCGC
RNAcentral lists this ribosomal RNA (530 nucleotides) under uncultured fungus. Its description in RNAcentral is "eukaryotic LSU rRNA". The stretch from base 188 to 341 matches the Rfam family "5.8S ribosomal RNA". Lineage: Eukaryota; Fungi. The record is from RNAcentral.